UACGAAGGGUGCAAGCGUUACUCGGAAUUACUGGGCGUAAAGCGUGCGUAGGUGGUUCGUUAAGUCAGAUGUGAAAGCCCCGGGCUCAACCUGGGAAUUGCAUUUGAUACUGGCGGGCUAGAGUGCGGUAGAGGAGAGUGGAAUUCCCGGUGUAGCAGUGAAAUGCGUAGAGAUCGGGAGGAACAUCAGUUGCGAAGGCGGCUCUCUGGACCAGCACUGACACUGAGGCACGAAAGCGUGGGGAGCAAACAGGAUUAGAAACCCCUGUAGUCC
RNAcentral lists this ribosomal RNA (273 nucleotides) under uncultured bacterium. RNAcentral describes it as "partial 16S ribosomal RNA". It matches the Rfam family "Bacterial small subunit ribosomal RNA", at positions 524 to 796 of the family's 1533-position model. The record is from RNAcentral.